This 75-nucleotide non-coding RNA is filed under the name Oceanobacillus massiliensis. RNAcentral's name for it is "Cyclic di-GMP-II riboswitch". It matches the Rfam family "Cyclic di-GMP-II riboswitch aptamer", at positions 6 to 79 of the family's 84-position model. The record is from RNAcentral. Lineage: Bacteria; Bacillati; Bacillota; Bacilli; Caryophanales; Bacillaceae.
AAGUAGGAUACUUUGAUCGAUUACCUUUAUCUGGGCACUUUGGUAAUUGGGAGUUAGUAGUGCAACCGGCCGACU